Molecule: ribosomal RNA, 3187 nt
Filed under: Salinivibrio sp. IB574
Lineage: Bacteria; Pseudomonadati; Pseudomonadota; Gammaproteobacteria; Vibrionales; Vibrionaceae
Description: bacterial LSU rRNA
Rfam family: Bacterial large subunit ribosomal RNA
Source: RNAcentral
UAAGCGUAGACGGUGGAUGCCUUGGCAGUCAGAGGCGAUGAAGGACGUAUUAACUUGCGAUAAGCCCAGAUAAGGCAGUAAAAGCCAUUUGAGUCUGGGAUUUCCGAAUGGGGAAACCCACCUGCAUAAGCAGGUAUCUUAGCGUGAAUACAUAGCGCUAAGAGGCGAACUCGGGGAACUGAAACAUCUAAGUACCCGAAGGAAAAGAAAUCAAUUGAGAUUCCGGCAGUAGCGGCGAGCGAACCCGGAGCAGCCCUUAAGCGGCUUAGGCGUUAGGUGAACAGGUUGGAAAACCUGGCAAUAAAGGGUGAUAGCCCCGUAACCGACAGCGCCUUAGUCGUGAAAACGAGUAGGACGGGACACGUGAUAUCUUGUCUGAACAUGGGGGGACCAUCCUCCAAGGCUAAAUACUCCUGACUGACCGAUAGUGAACCAGUACCGUGAGGGAAAGGCGAAAAGAACCCCUGUGAGGGGAGUGAAAUAGAACCUGAAACCGUCUACGUACAAGCAGUGGGAGCCUCCAUGUGGGGUGACCGCGUACCUUUUGUAUAAUGGGUCAGCGACUUAAUGUUAGUAGCAAGGUUAACCGUAUAGGGGAGCCGUAGGGAAACCGAGUCUUAACUGGGCGUGUAGUUGCUAGCAUUAGACCCGAAACCGAGUGAUCUAGCCAUGGGCAGGUUGAAGGUUGAGUAACAUCAACUGGAGGACCGAACUCACUAACGUUGAAAAGUUAGGNCGAGUAGGACGGGACACGUGAUAUCUUGUCUGAACAUGGGGGGACCAUCCUCCAAGGCUAAAUACUCCUGACUGACCGAUAGUGAACCAGUACCGUGAGGGAAAGGCGAAAAGAACCCCUGUGAGGGGAGUGAAAUAGAACCUGAAACCGUCUACGUACAAGCAGUGGGAGCCUCCUUUGUGGGGUGACCGCGUACCUUUUGUAUAAUGGGUCAGCGACUUAAUGUUAGUAGCAAGGUUAACCGCAUAGGGGAGCCGUAGGGAAACCGAGUCUUAACUGGGCGUGUAGUUGCUAGCAUUAGACCCGAAACCGAGUGAUCUAGCCAUGGGCAGGUUGAAGGUUGAGUAACAUCAACUGGAGGACCGAACUCACUAACGUUGAAAAGUUAGGAGAUGACCUGUGGCUAGGGGUGAAAGGCCAAUCAAACUCGGAGAUAGCUGGUUCUCCCCGAAAGCUAUUUAGGUAGCGCCUCGGACGAAUACUACUGGGGGUAGAGCACUGUUAAGGCUAGGGGGUCAUCCCGACUUACCAACCCUUUGCAAACUCCGAAUACCAGUAAGUACUAUCCGGGAGACACACGGCGGGUGCUAACGUCCGUCGUGGAGAGGGAAACAACCCAGACCGCCAGCUAAGGUCCCAAAGUUAUCGCUAAGUGGGAAACGAUGUGGGAAGGCUCAGACAGCCAGGAUGUUGGCUUAGAAGCAGCCAUCAUUUAAAGAAAGCGUAAUAGCUCACUGGUCGAGUCGGCCUGCGCGGAAGAUGUAACGGGGCUAAGCGAUACACCGAAGCUGCGGCAAUGUCCUUAUGGAUAUUGGGUAGGGGAGCGUUGUGUAAGCUGUUGAAGGUGUGCUGAGAGGCAUGCUGGAGGUAUCACAAGUGCGAAUGCUGACAUGAGUAACGAUAAAGGGGGUGAAAAACCUCCUCGCCGGAAGACCAAGGGUUCCUGUCCAACGUUAAUCGGGGCAGGGUAAGUCGGCCCCUAAGGCGAGGCCGAAAGGCGUAGUCGAUGGGAAACGGGUUAAUAUUCCCGUACUGCUGCUUACUGCGAUGGGGGGACGGAGAAGGCUAGGUGGGCCUGGCGAUGGUUGUCCAGGUUCAAGUGCGUAGGCUGAUUUCUUAGGCAAAUCCGGGAAAUCAAGGCCGAGACACGAUGUCGAGCCACCAAGGUGGUGAAGUCAUUGAUGCCAUGCUUCCGGGAAAAGCCUCUAAGCUUCAGGUAAGUAGCAACCGUACUCCAAACCGACACAGGUGGUCGGGUAGAGAAUACCAAGGCGCUUGAGAGAACUCGGGUGAAGGAACUAGGCAAAAUGGUACCGUAACUUCGGGAGAAGGUACGCUGCCCGCGGUGAAGUCCCUUGCGGAUGGAGCUAUGGGCAGUCGCAGAUACCAGGUGGCUGCAACUGUUUAUUAAAAACACAGCACUGUGCAAAAUCGAAAGAUGACGUAUACGGUGUGACGCCUGCCCGGUGCCGGAAGGUUAAUUGAUGUGGUUAUCGCAAGAGAAGCCAUUGAUCGAAGCCCCGGUAAACGGCGGCCGUAACUAUAACGGUCCUAAGGUAGCGAAAUUCCUUGUCGGGUAAGUUCCGACCUGCACGAAUGGCGUAAUGAUGGCCACGCUGUCUCCACCCGAGACUCAGUGAAAUUGAAAUCGCAGUGAAGAUGCUGUGUACCCGCGGCUAGACGGAAAGACCCCGUGAACCUUUACUACAGCUUGGCACUGAACAUUGAGCCUACAUGUGUAGGAUAGGUGGGAGGCUUUGAAGCGGCGACGCCAGUUGCUGUGGAGCCAUCCUUGAAAUACCACCCUUGUAUGUUUGAUGUUCUAACUUAGCCCCGUUAUCCGGGGUGAGGACAGUGCCUGGUGGGUAGUUUGACUGGGGCGGUCUCCUCCCAAAGAGUAACGGAGGAGCACGAAGGUGGGCUAAUCACGGUCGGACAUCGUGAGGUUAGUGCAAUGGCAUAAGCCCGCUUAACUGCGAGAGUGACGGCUCGAGCAGGUACGAAAGUAGGUCAUAGUGAUCCGGUGGUUCUGAAUGGAAGGGCCAUCGCUCAACGGAUAAAAGGUACUCCGGGGAUAACAGGCUGAUACCGCCCAAGAGUUCAUAUCGACGGCGGUGUUUGGCACCUCGAUGUCGGCUCAUCACAUCCUGGGGCUGAAGUCGGUCCCAAGGGUAUGGCUGUUCGCCAUUUAAAGUGGUACGCGAGCUGGGUUUAGAACGUCGUGAGACAGUUCGGUCCCUAUCUGCCGUGGGCGUUGGAUGAUUGAGGGGAGCUGCUCCUAGUACGAGAGGACCGGAGUGGACGAACCGCUGGUGUUCGGGUUGUGUCGCCAGACGCAUUGCCCGGUAGCUAAGUUCGGCACAGAUAAGCGCUGAAAGCAUCUAAGCGCGAAGCUGGCCCCGAGAUGAGUCAUCCCUAGAGCUUCGAGCUCUCUAAAGGGUUGUCGUAGAC